GACGGAGGGGGCUAGCGUUGUUCGGAAUUACUGGGCGUAAAGCGUGCGUAGACGGUUAUGUAAGUCGGGUGUGAAAGCCCCGGGCUCAACCUGGGAAUGCCAUUCGAGACUGCAUAGCUAGGGUGCGGAAGAGGGAAGCGGAAUUUCCGGUGUAGCGGUGAAAUGCGUAGAUAUCGGAAGGAACACCAGUGGCGAAAGCGGCUUCCUGGUCCAGCACCGACGUUCAGGCACGAAAGCGUGGGGAGCAAACAGG
Molecule: ribosomal RNA, 253 nt
Filed under: uncultured bacterium
Lineage: Bacteria
Description: partial 16S ribosomal RNA
Rfam family: Bacterial small subunit ribosomal RNA
Source: RNAcentral